This is a non-coding RNA of Rattus norvegicus (Norway rat), 69 nucleotides long. Lineage: Eukaryota; Metazoa; Chordata; Mammalia; Rodentia; Muridae. The record is from Rfam.
GGGGAUUUAGCUCAGUGGUAGAGCGCUUGCCUCGCAAGCACAAGGCCCUGGGUUCAGUCCCCAGCUCCG